This 281-nucleotide long non-coding RNA is filed under the name Lathyrus oleraceus (garden pea). RNAcentral describes it as "Pisum sativum (pea) long non-coding RNA (PSAT_LNC037565)". Lineage: Eukaryota; Viridiplantae; Streptophyta; Magnoliopsida; Fabales; Fabaceae. The record is from RNAcentral.
UUGUACAUUACUCUUCAACCAUGUAUACCAUCUCAGCAGUCUCAAAUAACCAGUCAGGAUGAAGCUGGUGAAUUUGAUCCACAAUAGUCAGAUGACGUCAACCCAGAAGCAGAAGCAGAAGUGGACAUCGUUGAUGAAGAAUAAGAGGAGACCGAGAUACAGGUUGAUCACAUGCUGAACAACGACAUUGAAGAUGAUGAUCAACCACCACCAAUACCUCAUAGUCAUGUAUACAAUCCGCCUCAACAUAUGACAAAUAUGGAUCUGCACGACAAUGAAAC